CCCCUAGAUGUUCUGGGCCGCACGCGCGCUACACUGAACAGUUCAACAAGUCUUAACCUUGGCCGAUAGGUCUGGGUAAUCUUUGAACGCUGUUCGUGAUUGGGAUAGACCUUUGCAAUUAUGGGUCUUCAACGAGGAAUUCCUAGUAAACGCAAGUCGUCAGCUUGCAUUGAUUACGUCCCUGCCCUUUGUACACACCGCCCGUCGCACCUACCGAUUGAAUGGUCCGGUGAAAUCUCGGGACGGCGGCUUGGUCGCUUGCGUCCGACUGCUGAAACUUGAUUAAACCAUAUCAUUUAGAGGAAGGUGAANUCGUANCA
Molecule: ribosomal RNA, 320 nt
Filed under: uncultured eukaryote
Lineage: Eukaryota
Description: partial 18S ribosomal RNA
Rfam family: Eukaryotic small subunit ribosomal RNA
Source: RNAcentral